UACAGAGGGGGCAAGCGUUAUUCGGAAUUAUUGGGCGUAACGGGCGCGUAGGCGGCUUGGCAAGUGGAAGGUGAAAUCCCUCGGCUUAACCGAGGAACUGCCCUCCAAACUGCUUUGCUUGAGGCCGGGAGAGGUGAGUGGAAUUCCCAGUGUAGCGGUGAAAUGCGUAGAUAUUGGGAGGAACACCAGUGGCGAAGGCGGCUCACUGGACCGGUUCUGACGCUGAUGCGCGAAAGCGUGGGGAGCAAACGGG
Molecule: ribosomal RNA, 253 nt
Filed under: uncultured bacterium
Lineage: Bacteria
Description: partial 16S ribosomal RNA
Rfam family: Bacterial small subunit ribosomal RNA
Source: RNAcentral